Molecule: small RNA, 27 nt
Filed under: Bombyx mori (domestic silkworm)
Lineage: Eukaryota; Metazoa; Arthropoda; Insecta; Lepidoptera; Bombycidae
Description: ovarian small RNA-15731
Source: RNAcentral
GAGAUGGUUUAGAUACCUGUUGUUUAU